This 465-nucleotide ribosomal RNA is filed under the name uncultured Klebsiella sp. RNAcentral describes it as "bacterial SSU rRNA". It matches the Rfam family "Bacterial small subunit ribosomal RNA", at positions 338 to 795 of the family's 1533-position model. The record is from RNAcentral. Lineage: Bacteria; Pseudomonadati; Pseudomonadota; Gammaproteobacteria; Enterobacterales; Enterobacteriaceae.
CCUACGGGUCGCUGCAGUGGGGAAUAUUGCACAAUGGGCGCAAGCCUGAUGCAGCCAUGCCGCGUGUGUGAAGAAGGCCUCCGGGUUGUAAAGCACUUUCAGCGGGGAGGAAGGCGGUGAGGUUAAUAACCUCACCGAUUGACGUUACCCGCAGAAGAAGCACCGGCUAACUCCGUGCCAGCAGCCGCGGUAAUACGGAGGGUGCAAGCGUUAAUCGGAAUUACUGGGCGUAAAGCGCACGCAGGCGGUCUGUCAAGUCGGAUGUGAAAUCCCCGGGCUCAACCUGGGAACUGCAUUCGAAACUGGCAGGCUAGAGUCUUGUAGAGGGGGGUAGAAUUCCAGGUGUAGCGGUGAAAUGCGCAGAGAUCUGGAGGAAUACCGGUGGCGAAGGCGGCCCCCUGGACAAAGACUGACGCUCAGGUGCGAAAGCGUGGGGAGCAAACAGGAUUAGAUACCCGUGUAGUC